Trichonephila clavata is the source of this 73-nucleotide non-coding RNA. Lineage: Eukaryota; Metazoa; Arthropoda; Arachnida; Araneae; Nephilidae. The record is from the annotation of a GenBank genome assembly.
GUUCCUGUAGCGCAAUGGAUAGCGUUUUGAACUUCUAAUCCAAAGGUCGUGGGUUCGAAUCCCUCUUGGAAUG